ACCUUGCCUUGACCUGUAGCUGAUGGCAGUACGUUUCCAUAAAGCAUCAGAGUAAGAAACAACAACUGUCUGUGAAUGACAAAGGACUGAAAAAUACCUGUUAAAUAUUUGAUGAAUGUUUGUUUUAACAUACUUGGCAAAGGAAUUUGAUUAUUUCUGUGGCGUGCAACAUUUUAAGGGCAGUCCAGUGAAUUCUUGGUAAUGAGCUUUUAGCACAAAGGACUUUGCAUGGGAAGACCCUGAGCUGCUGGAGUUUGAUUAGAGAGUUUUGCUGCCAUUCUUCGGGCCUUUGGCAAAGCUGUUUUCUGGUUAUCAGUAUUUACAUAGGAAUUCUUGACCUUUUCAGUAGAAAGCAUCGUGGGAAAACAUACAGAGUGGAACACAGGUAACAUGCUCAAAAGAGUGAUGAAUAAUUCCCAGAAUUCUGUCAAAGUUCUCCUGUGAUUUGCACAGGUCUGUUCUACAACCUGGAGAAGACUCUCCCUCUCAGGUCCCCCUUGUCUUCUACAGCAGGUGAGUUGUUGCAGCAUCCAUGUACAUCUAGCUCACCAUGCUCUGGCUGUAGUGUUUAUUAGCCUCGUUAUGUUUGUACCAACCCUACACUCCCUGAAGAUUCAAUUCCAGGGGAAGGUUCUGUAUG
Molecule: long non-coding RNA, 640 nt
Organism: Cercocebus atys (sooty mangabey)
Lineage: Eukaryota; Metazoa; Chordata; Mammalia; Primates; Cercopithecidae
Exons: 3
Source: RefSeq, a predicted model, not a curated record